This 987-nucleotide long non-coding RNA is filed under the name Calidris pugnax (ruff). RNAcentral describes it as "lncRNA (ENSCPUG00000018450.1)". Lineage: Eukaryota; Metazoa; Chordata; Aves; Charadriiformes; Scolopacidae. The record is from RNAcentral.
CAAGGUAAUAGAUCCUUAAAUAAUAAAGUGAAAGGGGAGAUAGGAAAGUUGGGUGGGAACAAAACUAGCUCAGUGUGUUAGAGAGAUUAUUGUUUGAGUUCCCAGUAUUUAACGGCUGGGUUCGCAGUGGGGCAACUGAAUUCAGCAGCAGUGUUGUUCUGGCCAGUUAUUCGGUGGGAAUGUCGACCUGAGCAACAACACCGUGAAAAAGCCAGAGGGCCUGUAGAAGCAGCCGGAAUCAACGGAGCACAGACAAUUCAGAUUCUUCAUCCAGGGACUGCUGCCGCACUGAAGCCAAGACUCACUAACAGCCACUGCUAGGAAGGUGACAACACCUCACGAUAAACUCUUGACAAUCAUAUAACUCUGCUGGCAGUCGGCUUAGGAGAUCAGAGAAAUGGAAUAGGAACUUUCGUGGUAUCCCUUGUAGGAGAAAAGAUUAAAGUGUAGCACAGAACAGAGCUCCUUUUGUGGCAAGGCCAAAGAACGUCAAUGCAACAACCAAACACCAUAUGCCAGGAAACCUGAACAUUCUGUUAGGCACAAACCCCGUUGGAGGACAAAUUCACCUCAAAUAUGGAUGUCAGAAGAAGAAAACGACAUGAGACAAGUGUUAUUUUAUGCCCUGAACACACCACUUUACAUGGUGGCUUUUAGCACUCUGUUUACAGAAAGCUAAACUUUCAUGUCUUAGAAAGGAAAUAGCUACAGGAGCCAAUUAAAGGACCAAACUGCUUUCUUAAAAUGUACCAGAACCUUAACAAAGUCCGCUAAAAUAUGACUUUCAGGAGGACAUGAGCAAUUGUUAUUUGAAAUCCAACAACACCACCAAAACUUUCUAGCCCUGUUUUGAUGUUCCUCCUCUAUUAGGAAGCUUAUAAUUAGUUUAUGAUACAUUUAUAAAGAAUCAAGAAGUAAUCAAUGAAGAAAUUAGUGACAUUUUAGUGAAUAAUUAGUGAAUAAUUAAUAAAUAAAUGAAUGAAGACA